CAGAGUUCGUGCCCUCACGGGUAGAUCUCCCACCCUUGUGUAUUCUCUACAUCUUGUUGCUUUGGCAGGCCGUUGGUUCGCCAACCACCGGCUCGCGGGCUGGUGCGUGCCUGCCAGAGGACCUCUCAAACUCGGUUUGUCAGUGUCGUCUGAGUACUUAUUAACAAUAGUAA
This 173-nucleotide unclassified non-coding RNA is filed under the name soil metagenome. RNAcentral describes it as "partial internal transcribed spacer 1". The record is from RNAcentral.